Molecule: ribosomal RNA, 319 nt
Filed under: uncultured eukaryote
Lineage: Eukaryota
Description: partial 18S ribosomal RNA
Rfam family: Eukaryotic small subunit ribosomal RNA
Source: RNAcentral
CCCUUAGAUGUUCUGGGCAGCACGCGCGCUACAAUGGUCUUCGCAAACGGAUGCCUUCUCGAAGGAGAAUGCCAAUCUUGGAAUCUAUGCCUUGGUCGGGACAGUUGCUUGCAAUUUUUCGACUCGAACCAGGAAUUCCUUGUAAUCGUGAUUCAUCACAUCACGAUGAAUACGUCCCUGCCCUUUGUACACACCGCCCGUCGCUCCUACCGAUCGAAGAGUUAGGUGAAUUGUUUUGAUCGAUAAGAUUUGACUAUGGUCAACUCUCGUUGUGAAAUUCUGUGAAUCUGACUGUUUAGAGGAAGGAAAAGUCGUAACA